RNAcentral lists this long non-coding RNA (1852 nucleotides) under Cottoperca gobio. RNAcentral's name for it is "lncRNA (ENSCGOG00000005441.1)". Lineage: Eukaryota; Metazoa; Chordata; Actinopteri; Perciformes; Bovichtidae. The record is from RNAcentral.
AUGCAGGACAUUUUCAGUUUGAUCAAGAAGGACUCGAACAUGGUGACCCAGCAGGACAGUUUCACACUGAAUCAGCACAACAGCUUUAUAAUCUUCUGUGAUGAGGACGUACCACUACCACGUUUUGGUGGCAUACACGCUGAGGCUUGUGGGACGUCCAAAGGGGAUACUGGUUGGCAUAACAACAUGUUAAGUGACGGCCCCAACACCAACGACUCUAACGGGAAUCAACACGAAGCGGUGAACAGAGACCAUUUUAACAACCUUAAAAGCCUGAAAUCCUGUCGAAUCUACGGCGCUCCGGGGGUUUUGUCUCAGAGGGACUUUAAUAAGAGGAGGAGCGUGACCUUUGAUGAUGAUGUCAUCGUCUACCUGUUCGAUCAGGGGAGUCCCACCAUGGAGCUGCACAGUGAGGCCUGCUCAUCUCCGCCAGAUGUCACUUUAGAAGACAGUGGCUUGGAGUGGGAAGACGACUUCUCAGCUUUGGAGAAGAACUGCCAUUUUCAGUGUGUCAGACACUCUCCGCAGCGCAGCCUUUCCCUGCCAACACGAAGCACCGCUGCUCUGUCCCGCCGCUUCUUUCUCUCCCAAACCUGUCUGUUCCUCACCCAUGUCACCGAGUCAGACCUUGAGCUGUGAGAUAAAAGACAGCCAGCCUUGGCCUAAUGGAAAAAGUGACUAAUCGUCCUCUUCACCUUCUCCCUCCUCUUUUAUGAUGAGUCAGGGGAUUUUAAUGGCUUUUUUUUCUCUCUCGGCUCCAAAUGGAUUCAAAGCACCUGGCGUUCAUGACAUCACAGCCACGCAGGACUGUGUGACGGUGCAUUCAGCUUUCACAGUUGUUAGUAUGACAAGAUCACAGGCUGUGAUGUGAGAAAAGAACACAUAACGUAGCAGUGCUGGUACUUUUCCAGCUGCAGACGUCUUUGAAAGCUGUGUUCAAUCAAUUUAAUUUAAUAAAUUGUGACUGAAAUCUCAUUUGAAUUGUUGUAUUUCAACAAAUUCCAGGUUAAUCUGGGAAUACAAGGAGUAUACGUUGUUUAUUUAUAUAGUUUGUUUUUGUUAAACAGAGCAUGCUUGUGGAGGCCCUGUUUGCUUGCCUCAUUACUAAAGUGUAUUCAGCUCAGAAUUUAUCAGCGGCUGUGGCUGAAUAAACAGUGUAAGCCUUAGGGCCAAUGGAGCCAGAAACUGAACAAACUAAAAGUAACAGAUAGUGUUUCCACAGAGCCAGCAUCAGCAAGGUUUGGUUGAUUAGAUACAGUGUACCUGAGGAGGAAACAGUGAACCUGGCAGGACCAGGUUUUUAUUAUUCACACACACACACACACACACACACACACACACACACACACACACACACACACACACACACACACACACACAGUUCAAGGACACCAACAGUGUUUGGCUCAACGAGCUGGGAGCGUCACACCUGCAUUAUUGUUGUGGUUACAUGUUUGUGAUAUUCUCCCAUAAUUUAGCUAAAAGUCAAAUUAUAAUGUUGUUCUUUGAAUUUAAACCACAUACUGCUCGGUAAUGUCCUAUUUUUAACUGUAGGCUACCAUGAAGUUUGUUUUUGUUGUCCAAAUGUGCUAUUACAGGUUUUCCUUCAAGCUAACGUGCCACUUAGCUUUAACAUUGUUGCAUUAAAGAGGAAAGCAUUUUUUAUUAUUUGGGAAUACUUUCUUUUUUGGAAGAAACUGAGCAACAAAAAAUAUGAAUUCUUUAACAUGUUUCUCUAAUAAAUGCAUUAAAUAUUUUGCUUACUGCUGCUUCACUGUUGCUACAUUUUUCUUGUUAAGCAGCGCAUGCUAGCUGCUAGCUGCUAGCUGCUAGCUCACUUGUGCCUUUCCUC